Molecule: long non-coding RNA, 677 nt
Organism: Episyrphus balteatus (marmalade hoverfly)
Lineage: Eukaryota; Metazoa; Arthropoda; Insecta; Diptera; Syrphidae
Exons: 3
Source: RefSeq, a predicted model, not a curated record
AUGAAGAAAGUUUGAAUUUUAUUUUUAUUAAAAUAGUCAAAUUUUAGAAAAUUUUACAUUUAAUUUUUUUCUAAAAUUUGGAAUGUAGAUAAAUAAUUUCUGUAAAAUUUGAUACCAAUUUCACUUAAAAUAGUUUUUUCCGAAAAAUGUUUAGGUAAAUGAAAUUGCUCAAAUUCAUUCAAGAAUUUGUUAGGAGGGCGGCCACUGCAGAAACGCUUAACUCAUCAAGUCCACAGGUCUUCCCGUCUGCAUUAGGCACUGUUGGCGUGGUAAAACGAAUUGUGCAUCUCAUAGAGCUUAAAGACAUAUUGGUCUCAAAUUAAUGGUAAUGCCAUCUUCUUCUCAAACUCAGACGUUUUCCGGGUCAAAGGUUGUCAGUUUCAUAACGCAGCAUGUUUUAAGGUUAGAAACGAUGGAAGUUUCAUAAAGUCUUGUUUUUUGGUAUGUUGGUCGAUGAGUUAAACAUUAUUACUUAAUCAAAUAAAAAUAAGACUCAUUAGCAACGACCCAAAGUAUAUGCAAAACUACAAAUAAUUCAGGAAAAAGUCUCAUAUAUUACGCAGCGCCCGCCCCUUUGAACUUAUGGAGUUAAAAUUCAAAUUUAAUCUCAAAUCAAAGCUAAUAAUAUCUUCUUUUGAAAACCAGAGGUCUUUCAAGUCAGAAAUUGGAACUUAGGU